Molecule: ribosomal RNA, 464 nt
Filed under: uncultured bacterium
Lineage: Bacteria
Description: partial 16S ribosomal RNA
Rfam family: Bacterial small subunit ribosomal RNA
Source: RNAcentral
CUACGGGGCGCAGCAGUGAGGAAUAUUGCGCAAUGGGGGAAACCCUGACGCAGCGAUGCCGCGUGAGUGAGGAAGGCCCUCGGGUCGUAAAGCUCUGUCAAGAGGAAAGAAGUGCAUAGUAGUUAAUACCUGCUAUGUUUGACGGUACCUCUAAAGGAAGCACCGGCUAACUCCGUGCCAGCAGCCGCGGUAAUACGGAGGGUGCAAGCGUUGUUCGGAAUCACUGGGCGUAAAGGGCGCGCAGGCGGCCUGGUAAGUCAGAUGUGAAAGCCCACGGCUUAACCGUGGAAGUGCAUUGAAACUGUCAGGCUCGAGUACCAGAGGGGAAAGUGGAAUUCCCGGUGUAGAGGUGAAAUUCGUAGAUAUCGGGAGGACUACCGGUGGCGAAGGCGACUUUCUGGCUGAGUACUGACGCUGAGGCGCGAAAGCGUGGGGAGCAAACAGGAUUAGAUACCCGGGUAGUC